AACGACUCUCGGCAACGGAUAUCUCGGCUCUCGCAUCGAUGAAGAACGCAGCGAAAUGCGAUACUUGGUGUGAAUUGCAGAAUCCCGCGAACCAUCGAGUUUUUGAACGCAAGUUGCGCCCAAAGCCUCUCGGGGUGUAGGGCACGUCUGCCUGGGUGUCACGC
This 164-nucleotide ribosomal RNA is filed under the name Croton coriifolius. RNAcentral's name for it is "5.8S ribosomal RNA". It matches the Rfam family "5.8S ribosomal RNA". From Rfam's summary of the family: 5.8S ribosomal RNA (5.8S rRNA) is a component of the large subunit of the eukaryotic ribosome. It is transcribed by RNA polymerase I as part of the 45S precursor that also contains 18S and 28S rRNA. Functionally, it is thought that 5.8S rRNA may be involved in ribosome translocation. RNAcentral also lists the same sequence under 1 other name. Lineage: Eukaryota; Viridiplantae; Streptophyta; Magnoliopsida; Malpighiales; Euphorbiaceae. The record is from RNAcentral.